UACCAGCACCCCGAGUGGUCGGGACGUUUAUUGGGCCUAAAGCAUCCGUAGCCGGUUCUACAAGUCUUCCGUUAAAUCCAGCUGCUUAACAGAUGGGCUGCGGGAGAUACUAUGGAGCUAGGAGGCGGGAGAGGCAAGCGGUACUCGAUGGGUAGGGGUAAAAUCCGUUGAUCCAUUGAAGACCACCAGUGGCGAAGGCGGCUUGCCAGAACGCGCUCGACGGUGAGGGAUGAAAGCUGGGGGAGCAAACCGG
This 253-nucleotide ribosomal RNA is filed under the name uncultured bacterium. RNAcentral's name for it is "partial 16S ribosomal RNA". It matches the Rfam family "Archaeal small subunit ribosomal RNA", at positions 474 to 727 of the family's 1478-position model. The record is from RNAcentral.